RNAcentral lists this ribosomal RNA (305 nucleotides) under uncultured bacterium. RNAcentral describes it as "partial 16S ribosomal RNA". It matches the Rfam family "Bacterial small subunit ribosomal RNA", at positions 506 to 807 of the family's 1533-position model. The record is from RNAcentral.
ACAGCAGUAGCCGCGGGAACACGUAGGGUGCGAGCGUUAAUCGGAAUUACUGGGCGUAAAGCGUGCGCAGGCGGUUGUGUAAGACAGGUGUGAAAUCCCCGGGCUUAACCUGGGAACUGCGCUUGUGACUGCACAGCUAGAGUAUGGCAGAGGGGGGUGGAAUUCCACGUGUAGCAGUGAAAUGCGUAGAGAUGUGGAGGAACACCGAUGGCGAAGGCAGCCCCCUGGGCCAAUACUGACGCUCAUGCACGAAAGCGUGGGGAGCAAACAGGAUUAGAUACCCCCGUAGUCCCUGUCUCUUAUAC